CAGCAGCCACGGUAAUACGAAGGGGGCUAGCGUUGUUCGGAAUUACUGGGCGUAAAGCGCACGUAGGCGGACAUUUAAGUCAGGGGUGAAAUCCCGGGGCUCAACCCCGGAACUGCCUUUGAUACUGGGUGUCUUGAGUGUGGAAGAGGUCAGUGGAAUUGCGAGUGUAGAGGUGAAAUUCGUAGAUAUUCGCAGGAACACCAGUGGCGAAGGCGGCUGACUGGUCCACAACUGACGCUGAGGUGCGAAAGCGUGGGGAGCAAACAGGAUUAGAUACCCGCGUAGUCCCUGUCUCUUAUAA
This 301-nucleotide ribosomal RNA is filed under the name uncultured bacterium. RNAcentral describes it as "partial 16S ribosomal RNA". It matches the Rfam family "Bacterial small subunit ribosomal RNA", at positions 509 to 809 of the family's 1533-position model. The record is from RNAcentral.